This 103-nucleotide ribosomal RNA is filed under the name uncultured bacterium. RNAcentral's name for it is "partial 16S ribosomal RNA". It matches the Rfam family "Bacterial small subunit ribosomal RNA", at positions 251 to 353 of the family's 1533-position model. The record is from RNAcentral.
GGGUAGGUAGGCUCACCUAGGCGACGAUCCCUAGCUGGUCUGAGAGGAUGACCAGCCACACUGGAACUGAGACACGGUCCAGACUCCUACGGGAGGCAGCAUG